This 301-nucleotide ribosomal RNA is filed under the name uncultured bacterium. Its description in RNAcentral is "partial 16S ribosomal RNA". It matches the Rfam family "Bacterial small subunit ribosomal RNA", at positions 509 to 809 of the family's 1533-position model. The record is from RNAcentral.
CAGUAGCCGCGGUAAUACAGAGGAUGCAAGCGUUGUCCGGAAUGAUUGGGCGUAAAGCGUCUGUAGGUGGCUUUUCAAGUCCGCCGUCAAAUCCCAGGGCUCAACCCUGGACAGGCGGUGGAAACUACCAAGCUGGAGUACGGUAGGGGCAGAGGGAAUUUCCAGUGGAGCGGUGAAAUGCGUUGAGAUCGAAAAGAACACCAACAGCGAAAGCACUCUGCUGGGACGACACUGACACUAAGAGACGAAAGCUAGGGGAGCAAAUGGGAUUAGAGACCCCGGUAGUCCCUGUCUCUUAUAA